GCCUGGGUGGCUCAGUCGGUUGAGCGUCCGACUGCGGCUCAGGUCGCGAUCUCGCGGUCCCUGAGUUCGAGCCCGGGCUCUGGGCU
This is a non-coding RNA of Felis catus (domestic cat), 86 nucleotides long. NCBI's taxonomy places the organism in Eukaryota, Metazoa, Chordata, Mammalia, Carnivora, Felidae. The record is from the annotation of a RefSeq genome assembly.